CCUACGGGAGGCAGCAGUGAGGAAUAUUGGUCAAUGGACGCAAGUCUGAACCAGCCAUGCCGCGUGCAGGAAGACGGCUCUAUGAGUUGUAAACUGCGUUUGUACGAGGGUAAACGCAGAAACGCGUAUCUGUCUGAAAGUAUCGAAUGAAUAAGUAUAGGCUAACUCCGUGACAGCAGCCGCGGUAAUACGGAGGAUUCAAGCGUUAUCCGGAUUUAUUGGGUUGAAAGGGUGAGUAGGCGGUCGUAUAAGUGAGAGGUGAAAUCCCGAGGCUCAACUUCGGAAUUGCCUCUGAUACUGUUCGCCUUGAGUGUACUUGCGGUAGGCGGAAUGUCUUGUGUAGCGGUGAAAUGCUU
Molecule: ribosomal RNA, 356 nt
Filed under: uncultured bacterium
Lineage: Bacteria
Description: partial 16S ribosomal RNA
Rfam family: Bacterial small subunit ribosomal RNA
Source: RNAcentral